Molecule: ribosomal RNA, 1222 nt
Filed under: Bacillus sp. RIC12-Oh014
Lineage: Bacteria; Bacillati; Bacillota; Bacilli; Caryophanales; Bacillaceae
Description: bacterial SSU rRNA
Rfam family: Bacterial small subunit ribosomal RNA
Source: RNAcentral
UGUAAGACUGGGAUAACUCCGGGAAACCGGAGCUAAUACCGGAUAGUUCCUUGAACCGCAUGGUUCAAGGAUGAAAGACGGUUUCGGCUGUCACUUACAGAUGGACCCGCGGCGCAUUAGCUAGUUGGUGGGGUAAUGGCUCACCAAGGCGACGAUGCGUAGCCGACCUGAGAGGGUGAUCGGCCACACUGGGACUGAGACACGGCCCAGACUCCUACGGGAGGCAGCAGUAGGGAAUCUUCCGCAAUGGACGAAAGUCUGACGGAGCAACGCCGCGUGAGUGAUGAAGGUUUUCGGAUCGUAAAGCUCUGUUGUUAGGGAAGAACAAGUGCGAGAGUAACUGCUCGCACCUUGACGGUACCUAACCAGAAAGCCACGGCUAACUACGUGCCAGCAGCCGCGGUAAUACGUAGGUGGCAAGCGUUGUCCGGAAUUAUUGGGCGUAAAGGGCUCGCAGGCGGUUUCUUAAGUCUGAUGUGAAAGCCCCCGGCUCAACCGGGGAGGGUCAUUGGAAACUGGGAAACUUGAGUGCAGAAGAGGAGAGUGGAAUUCCACGUGUAGCGGUGAAAUGCGUAGAGAUGUGGAGGAACACCAGUGGCGAAGGCGACUCUCUGGUCUGUAACUGACGCUGAGGAGCGAAAGCGUGSGGAGCGAACAGGAUUAGAUACCCUGGUAGUCCACGCCGUAAACGAUGAGUGCUAAGUGUUAGGGGGUUUCCGCCCCUUAGUGCUGCAGCUAACGCAUUAAGCACUCCGCCUGGGGAGUACGGUCGCAAGACUGAAACUCAAAGGAAUUGACGGGGGCCCGCACAAGCGGUGGAGCAUGUGGUUUAAUUCGAAGCAACGCGAAGAACCUUACCAGGUCUUGACAUCCUCUGACAACCCUAGAGAUAGGGCUUUCCCUUCGGGGACAGAGUGACAGGUGGUGCAUGGUUGUCGUCAGCUCGUGUCGUGAGAUGUUGGGUUAAGUCCCGCAACGAGCGCAACCCUUGAUCUUAGUUGCCAGCAUUCAGUUGGGCACUCUAAGGUGACUGCCGGUGACAAACCGGAGGAAGGUGGGGAUGACGUCAAAUCAUCAUGCCCCUUAUGACCUGGGCUACACACGUGCUACAAUGGACAGAACAAAGGGCUGCGAGACCGCAAGGUUUAGCCAAUCCCAUAAAUCUGUUCUCAGUUCGGAUCGCAGUCUGCAACUCGACUGCGUGAAGCUGGAAUCGCUAGUA